Molecule: ribosomal RNA, 253 nt
Filed under: uncultured bacterium
Lineage: Bacteria
Description: partial 16S ribosomal RNA
Rfam family: Bacterial small subunit ribosomal RNA
Source: RNAcentral
UACGAAGGAUUCGAGCGUUAUCCGGAUUUAUUGGGUUUAAAGGGUGCGUAGGUGGACUAAUAAGUCAGUGGUGAAAGCCCGGAGCUCAACUCCGGAACUGCCAUUGAUACUGUUAGUCUUGAGUACAGUUGAGGUGGGCGGAAUGUGUCAUGUAGCGGUGAAAUGCUUAGAUAUGACAUAGAACACCAAUUGCGAAGGCAGCUGGCUACACAAAUAUUGACACUGAGGCACGAAAGCGUGGGGAUCAAACAGG